This 639-nucleotide ribosomal RNA is filed under the name Sphingomonas sp. RNAcentral's name for it is "bacterial SSU rRNA". It matches the Rfam family "Bacterial small subunit ribosomal RNA", at positions 60 to 745 of the family's 1533-position model. Lineage: Bacteria; Pseudomonadati; Pseudomonadota; Alphaproteobacteria; Sphingomonadales; Sphingomonadaceae. The record is from RNAcentral.
AGUCGAACGAAGGCUUCGGCCUUAGUGGCGCACGGGUGCGUAACGCGUGGGAAUCUGCCCUUGGGUUCGGAAUAACAGCGAGAAAUUGCUGCUAAUACCGGAUGAUGUCGCGAGACCAAAGAUUUAUCGCCUGAGGAUGAGCCCGCGUUGGAUUAGGUAGUUGGUGGGGUAAAGGCCUACCAAGCCGACGAUCCAUAGCUGGUCUGAGAGGAUGAUCAGCCACACUGGGACUGAGACACGGCCCAGACUCCUACGGGAGGCAGCAGUGGGGAAUAUUGGACAAUGGGCGAAAGCCUGAUCCAGCAAUGCCGCGUGAGUGAUGAAGGCCUUAGGGUUGUAAAGCUCUUUUACCCGGGAUGAUAAUGACAGUACCGGGAGAAUAAGCUCCGGCUAACUCCGUGCCAGCAGCCGCGGUAAUACGGAGGGAGCUAGCGUUGUUCGGAAUUACUGGGCGUAAAGCGCACGUAGGCGGCUUUGUAAGUCAGGGGUGAAAGCCUGGAGCUCAACUCCAGAACUGCCUUUGAGACUGCAUCGCUUGAAUCCGGGAGAGGUGAGUGGAAUUCCGAGUGUAGAGGUGAAAUUCGUAGAUAUUCGGAAGAACACCAGUGGCGAAGGCGGCUCACUGGACCGGUAUUGAAC